AGAGACAGCAGCAGCCGCGGGAAUACAGAGGGUGCGAGCGUUAAUCGGAUUUACUGGGCGUAAAGCGUGCGUAGGCGGCUUCUUAAGUCGGAUGUGAAAUCCCUGAGCUUAACUUAGGAAUUGCAUUCGAUACUGGGAAGCUAGAGUAUGGGAGAGGAUGGUAGAAUUCCAGGUGUAGCGGUGAAAUGCGUAGAGAUCUGGAGGAAUACCGAUGGCGAAGGCAGCCAUCUGGCCUAAUACUGACGCUGAGGUACGAAAGCAUGGGGAGCAAACAGGAUUAGAGACCCGAGUAGUCCCUGUCUCUUAUAC
Molecule: ribosomal RNA, 309 nt
Filed under: uncultured bacterium
Lineage: Bacteria
Description: partial 16S ribosomal RNA
Rfam family: Bacterial small subunit ribosomal RNA
Source: RNAcentral